This is a long non-coding RNA of Catharus ustulatus (Swainson's thrush), 509 nucleotides long. RefSeq lists it as uncharacterized. The transcript has 3 exons. NCBI's taxonomy places the organism in Eukaryota, Metazoa, Chordata, Aves, Passeriformes, Turdidae. The record is from RefSeq and is a predicted model, not a curated record.
UUGCAUUUCCAGCUAACCCCAAAGCCAUUUCCAGCUGCUACCAACAGAUAAUUUGGAAUCAGAGUUUGUCCUUCUGAGAUGCAUUCAUUCCAUAUGGUCUUCCUGUCUUGGUCCUCAGCAAGAGUAUUGCUGAUCGAAAAUCCAGCUUGUUUCAGGCAGAAAAUCACUGGAAGCACUGUCAGCAGAGCAUGAGGUUGGUGCCAAAAUGCAGAGGGUGGCACUGUUUGGCUGGGCCAAAGAAACAUGCAAACUUUGAAGCUCUAUAGUCCUGCAUGUGACCAAGAACUUUUGGGAACUCACCUCUGCAAGAGAUGCCUAGUGACUGGAUGCAUAAUUGGAGGGAUUCUUUCACUGUACAGAAGUUCAUUAAAUAGAACUGACCACUGAUGGAAUUCCCACAAUCAAUGGGCUUACACAAGGGGUUUGGCGAGCGAUCAUGCCCCUUGCAUAUGCUUGUAUGACACGGGCAGCUUUCUUCUGCUCUGCCAGCUUCUGGCGCAGCAGGUAGC